CAAUUUCUAUGUGUCAUUUUAAAUGAUGUGUGUGGAUUAUAAAACAUAUUAAAAGGCGCCACUGACUCUAAUUUUAGCACCAUACUGCACUGAACCAAGAAUUUUUGCUGCAUUAAAAUAUCGUAUAGCGGUUGGUUUUCGUCUUUAUAUUUUAGCCAUGAAUGAAGCGACCUUGCCUACCUGCAAGCAGCAACCACGAAAAGAUUAACCACUACCAUAGUUGAUGUAAUUACAGUGCCAACAAAAUUAAUUCCACUUCCGAAUCCAAGGGUCGCAUCUUUUAGAACCCCCAAAAUUCGUUCAGCCAAUAUGGUGGCGCUUAUGUUCUACAGCUAGUAUAGACAUUUAGAGAAAAUGGGUGUGGUCUAGCUCAGUUUUCACUUAGCUAGCUAGAGCUAUGCUUUAGGACCUCAAAAAUUACGCUGAGUCUUACGUUGAAAGAAACUGGCCUUUGUGAUUACCCUGAUCUUAUCUAUAAUAUGGAUGAGUCGGGUUUUCCUUUGAAUCUGAAACCUCUCAAAAGUGUUAAUUGUCGUGGAUCAAAGAACCCAUAUUGUGUGUCGAGUGGCUCCAAAUCUCAAGUAUCAAUUGCUGCUUGUGUCAGUGCUGCAGGUCAGAGCCUACCUCCAUACAUAAUAUGGAGACGAAAAACUCUGUCUCCUGAUUUGACCAUCGGAGAACUGCCAGGAACUGAUUAUGGUUUAUCGGACAAAGGCUGGAUGAACAGUGUUUUAUUCCAUUCAUGGUUCCGAAAGAUAUUUCUUCGAUACGCUCCUGCAAGCCGACCACUCAUGCUGUUAUUAGACGGCCACAGUUCACACUACUGUACAGAUACCAUCCAACUGUCUACCGAGAAUGAAGUGAUCCUAUUCACACUACCCCCAAACACAACGCAUUUGAGUCAACCAUUAGACAAAGGUGUAUUUGGGCCUUUUAAAGCCCAUUGGAACUAGUGUGCCACGAUUACGUAAUCAAUACAUACAACUUUGUUCAACUAUUUUCGAAAGCAUGGAUAGAGUCUAUAACUGCAUGCCUCUAAUAUUGCCACAGGAUUUGCGAUUACAGGCAUAUACCCACUAGACCGAACAGCAAUUUAUUUCCCUGGGGCUAGGAAACCUAGGGACAAUGUUGUUCCUAAUGUGACAUUCACACCUUUCAAACGGUAUGCUGUUUCUGAUAACAUGAUGUCUUCAUCUGAUUUACGUCUCCUGGCCUCUCCAACCUUUUGUGUUCCACAACCUCCCAAAGCACUGCGUAACGUAGCUGAUCUACCUACACCAAAGCUAAAAACUGUGCCAUUGUACACAAUUGCUAACCGAGUUAUCUCGAGUCAUGCUAGUGUAGGCUUGAAGUGUGAUGAAACAUCUGACCAGGGGAAAAAACAAGCACCAAAGGGAAUCACUAAACCCUCUAAGUCUGCCCAAGUGCAAUGUUUCGUAUGUGGUGUUAUUACUUUCAAGCCAUGUAAUCAUUCCGUUCUUUGUGGAAUGUGUGCAAAGGUUGCAAGAAACCUGUGAAAAGUUUUGCGAUACAGUGCCUCAUGUGUGAUGACUAAAAAACCAGGACGUGUUUUUGCAAUUAAACCGUGUGGCCAUUCUUUCUGCAGAGAAUGCUCCAAGAGGAUGAAGAAAUGCUUUGAGUGCAAAGUUCAUAUUGAAUUGACGGUACCUCAUUAAUAGUGCACUAGCUGUACAUGUUUACAGUGUACCUACACGUACUGUAUAUUAUGAUCUGCAAAUACAGUACAAUUAACAACAAUGUGCAUUUAUAGAUUAUAAGUCUAUUGGGUAUGAUCUCGUGUACAUGUACAGUAAGUACGUGUAUAGUGAUAAUGCCGUUUCCCAAGCACACGCACAUAUAAUUAUGUCCAGACAACUUGGGUGAUAUUCAGGGUUUCAACUUAAACAUACAUGUACAUGUACACACGCUUGUUGUAUCAACCAUGUCCAGAGUCAAAACUGCCCACUAGCCUCCAAGAUUUCCAAGCUUCAUCAGAGCGUCCGUCCACAGAAACGGAGGUAGAGAUGCCUGUCAACUUGCGUUUUGAGACUACUGUCAGUAAGGAUGAAUUUAUAUACCCACACACACACUCGUUGUACUAUCAUGCCUGUUGCAGAGUCAGAACUGCCCACGCUCAUAAGAUUUCCCAGCUUCAUCGGAGC
Molecule: long non-coding RNA, 2162 nt
Organism: Halichondria panicea
Lineage: Eukaryota; Metazoa; Porifera; Demospongiae; Suberitida; Halichondriidae
Exons: 5
Source: RefSeq, a predicted model, not a curated record